UACGGGGGGGGCAAGCGUUGUUCGGAAUUACUGGGCGUAAAGGGCUCGUAGGCGGCCAACUAAGUCAGACGUGAAAUCCCUCGGCUUAACCGGGGAACUGCAUCUGAUACUGGAUGGCUUGAGAUUGGGAGAGGAAUGCGGAAUUCCAGGUGUAGCGGUGAAAUGCGUAGAUAUCUGGAGGAACACCGGUGGCGAAGGCGGCAUCCUGGACCAACACUGACGCUGAGGAGCGAAAGCCAGGGGAGCAAACGGG
This 253-nucleotide ribosomal RNA is filed under the name uncultured bacterium. RNAcentral describes it as "partial 16S ribosomal RNA". It matches the Rfam family "Bacterial small subunit ribosomal RNA", at positions 524 to 776 of the family's 1533-position model. The record is from RNAcentral.